Molecule: non-coding RNA, 1997 nt
Organism: Danio rerio (zebrafish)
Lineage: Eukaryota; Metazoa; Chordata; Actinopteri; Cypriniformes; Danionidae
Source: RefSeq, a predicted model, not a curated record
AUUUGGUACAUGCAGUAACAGAUGAUUUUUACUUGAAAAUGUUUAAAUGUAACUUUUACUUGAUUGUCGUUUUCGAUCUGCGUUUUAGGCUUACAAAAGAUAGAAUACAAGGAAUCACGGCGCUACUUUUGUCAGUCCAAGUAACUUAGACUUGCAAAAGAACAACAAUCGACGCAAGUGUUUCAGUCCAGCCAUGCACAAGUAACACAAGUGACGGGGCCAUGCUAAUCUUCUCUGUAUCGUUCCAAUUUUAGUAUAUGUGCUGCCGAAGCAAGCACGAGCUGGGAGUCUGGAGGACGGCUAUAUAUACCAGUGACUUCUGGGCAUGCGCAGAUCCCCCCUGCCUUGGAUAAGAGCACAAAACACUCCGACAAAAGGAAGCUGCUCUCACUAGAGCAGAGCCCAUGAAAACCCAGACAGACACGUGGAGGGUAAGAAUACUCUAAAUCUUGGAGACAUGAAAAACUGAGUUCACAGCCGGCGUUGAACUCAAAGCUCUCAGCAGAACAAAGAUCAAACAUUCAAACUGACGUCGAGAACAAAGCCUGCCUGUCAUGCAGCUACAUGUGCUAUGUAGCAUUCUCCUGGAUAUCGUAGUUGUGAAAUUUGUUUUUAUGUUUUAAAAAGGACUAUAAAAGUCAUUAGUUGCACAGAGAUUAGUUUGUUAUGUCUUAACUAUAGCUUCAUAGAAUCUUGCUAAUAAUCUGACUUUAAGUUUUUGCUUACAGCAUUUAUCCACAAAGCUUAAAUGGAUAGUUUACAGGAAAAUAAAAGUGGCUCAGAAAAGUGGCCUCUUUUUGAGUUUUUUCCCCGUUGAACACACAAAAACAUGCUUUGAGGAAUGUUGGGAAAUAGCAGCCAUUGAUAUUCAUUGUAGGAAAAAAAUGCAAGUCAAUGACUUCCAGCUUUAUUUACUAUGUCUUCUUUAAAACACCUUUAUUUUAUACCUAAAAAAAAAUUUGAAAGAAGUGGAAUGUUGAGUUUGAUAGAAUUUCCAUUUUGUUAGUGAACUGUCUCUUUAAGUGGCUCCAACACUAUGAGUUUCCUUUCUCUGGUUUAAAACCAGUACAUUAGUAGGAAAAAAUACAAUGGAAGUCAUUGGCUACUUUUUUCCCCAGCAUUUUCUUAAAAAAGAAAUGCUUUAACAAAAGAAGGAAACUAAUAGAUGCUGGAGCAAGUGGAGGGUGAGUAGGCAUAGGCCGGUAUAAGGUUUUGACUGUAUGAUAACCUUGGAUAAAAAUAUCACAGUUUGACAGUAUUGUGGUUUUUGAUUUAAAAUAUAUAUAUAUUUUUAAAUGUCUGAAACUUUUUCUCCUAUUGAAAUCAAUAUAUAUUAUACUUUAAGGAACAUUUAAAAUAUUUUGGAGCUGUAAAUAAGCAGGAUAAAUAAUUAAAAUAAAUCACCAAGUUCUGUAAUUAGUUUCAAAGAUUUUUUUACAACUUGAAAAUGCAUCUUUGGCACUGUUCAGGUCCAUAGUAUGCUUGUAUGUAGGUGCAUAAGCUACUUGUUUCUCACAUGUUGUUGUGUAUGGUUGAUGUGUAUGGUUAUUUGCUGCUGGAGAUAUACUGCAGAAACUGUAAAACAGAAAAAUGUAGCGGUUUCGAAACUGUGACUUUUUCAAACAGAGGUAAACCUUGAAACUGGUUAUCAUCCCAUGCCUAAGGGUUAGUAACAUCAUGUAGCAAUUGUAGAAUUGAUAUUGAGCAAUUCUGGAAAAAAUGCAUCACCGUUUCUACAAAAAUAGCCAGCACAAAUGAUUUCAAGAUUUAAAUUAAUAAUAAAUGUUUUGUUUACUACCAAAUCAGCAUAUUUGAAUGAUUUCUGAUGGAUCAUGUGACACUGAAGACUGGAAUCAUGUUAAAUAUGAGCCUAGGAUCAAGAUAUAAAGUAGGUUUUAAAUAUAUGAUAACAUAAUUAGAUUUAAUAACAUUGUAAUAACAUUUCACGGUAUUAUGCAUUUACUGUGUUUGGAUUAAAUAAAUACACCCUUACUGUA